ACUAUUCGUGAGGAAAAGGAAUGUGAUGAUCGCACAACCCGAAAAACGAUCUCACAUCACAGAAAACCCACGUCACAUCGUCAUGUCGCCUGCGGAAUAUGCAAAAAAGACCACCGUCUAGUGACUUGCGCUACAUACUCGGCAUAUAACAUUAAUAAGAAAUACGAAGCAGUAAGAAAACACCAUUAUUGCGUUAAUUGCUUAGCCAGGUCGCACAAGACAGAAGGAUGUACAAGCAAAAAUAGAUGUUCCGUUUGUCAUGAGAAACAUCAUUCAUCCCUACACGGACAUCCGAGGCUAUACCCGACCAACGAUGCCAAUGUUGUUAAGAAACAUCCGCUUGCGAUGGAGACCCGACUACCAUCCUUACUGGCUAAGCAGACCCUAGUACCCACAUUGAAGAUCCGAUUAAGAUGCGAUGGUGAAUGGCAUAAAGUUCGAGCCAUUUUAAACCCUACCCUCAAAAUCACGAAUAUAGCAGCCGAACUCGUCCAACAAUUAAAACUGCCGAUUACAUACCUCAAUACUUAUCGUAUUUGCAGCAUCAAAAUUAGCUCAAAUAAUGACACAAAGUUUUCUCUGGAUUGUAACGCGGUUAUCACCCAAAAGUUACCCAAAAAACCCUAUGAGCGAGAUCUAAGUGACGAUGUGCAAAUGCGCUUUGAACACUUAGUUCUCGCUGACCCUCAAUUCCAUAGCAACAGGGAGAUAAUGUUGGAAAUUGGAGCGGAUAUCUACCCCAAAUCAUCAGAAAUGGACUAUUCAAACCCGACAAUGGUACAGUGGUAGCGCAGAAUACAGCAUUUGGCUGGACCCUUACUGGCACCAUCUAAACCUAAAUUCUGCAAGGUGGCCGGGAUGUUUAAUCCAAACAAAUACUCCUCUGCAUUACUCCCACAAAUUGCAUAAAGUAAUAGAGGCGUAAUGCAGAGGAAUAUCAACCGCCCCAACUUCACGCAACAGGCGAAGAAGGAGACAAAAAAAAAAGGAAAACUUUUCCCGCGCUUUUUCUCACUAUUGAUUAUUAUCCCGCCAACAGCAGCGAACAUCAACAAGCGAUAUAGAGCAGCGAUACACCAGCUAACACGGAGAACAACAUAAAAUAAAUUCCCUAUUUAUACAAAGUGACAACAAGUGUAGCAGAUUACAACAUAUAACAAGUGAAAUUAAAAGGAAUUACCAUAUAAAGUAUUACGAAUACAACACAAAAAUCCUCACAAACAUCGUUGGAAUUACAGAAAAAAUCCACACCACAUCUACAGCGAGGGA
Long non-coding RNA from Bactrocera tryoni, 1269 nucleotides. RefSeq lists it as uncharacterized. The record is from RefSeq and is a predicted model, not a curated record. NCBI's taxonomy places the organism in Eukaryota, Metazoa, Arthropoda, Insecta, Diptera, Tephritidae. The transcript has 2 exons.